Molecule: long non-coding RNA, 702 nt
Filed under: Zostera marina
Lineage: Eukaryota; Viridiplantae; Streptophyta; Magnoliopsida; Alismatales; Zosteraceae
Description: long non-coding RNA (ZMAR_LNC005868)
Source: RNAcentral
CUCAAUGAAGAGAGAGGCUGGCUAGAUGGAGGCUGUCAAUCAAAUAAUCAAUGCAUUGAAAGAAACUAUUAUCAUGUGUUCGAGAUAGAUUGAUUAGAUUUGUAUGAUCUAUGAGUGAUUGAAUGAUUGGUAUUCUCUCAAUUGUUAUCUACUUAUCUAACUUCAAAUCAACAACGACCUUAAAUUUACUUCUCUCCAUGGAUACCAAGGGAUCUACAAUUCUUUCAAACUAGAACAAGCUGGCAAGAUGUUCAAAUCUAAAAUCAGGGACAAACUGGUAAUAUUAUAUUUGGGCUUGACUUUUUUUUGGGCUUCUUUUAAAAAAUUGAUUUUUUUUUAAUUCAUGUUUCAUAUUUGGAUUUAGAUUCAGAUCCAUGGAAUUUUAUGUAUAUAAUUUUAAUAUCUUAUCAACUCAGGAAGAGAGGAAACCCUAUGGAAGAACACCAUGAUUGUCUAUCACUUGCAAGCAUUUUCAAUCCUUCAAACUUUUAAACUUUCAGUCUCUCAAUUGUUUUUGCUCUAGCUUUCAAAGUUUCAAAGGUCUUUCGAGCUUUGUUGAUAGAAAAUUUCGCAAGUUGUGGUAAAAUCAUUGGAAAUACCACAUUUCAUUGUGACAAUAUGACAACUAUUUACAUUACCUCAAUCAAACCUUGUGUUCCAUGAAUGCAUCAAGCAUAUUAAAAUGGACUGUUAUUUGAUGCG